Molecule: ribosomal RNA, 491 nt
Filed under: uncultured Flavobacterium sp.
Lineage: Bacteria; Pseudomonadati; Bacteroidota; Flavobacteriia; Flavobacteriales; Flavobacteriaceae
Description: partial 16S ribosomal RNA
Source: RNAcentral
CACGGAGUUAGCCGGUCCUUAUUCUUACGAUACCGUCAAGCUGCUUCACGAAGCAGUGUUUCUUCUCGUAUAAAAGCAGUUUACACACCAUAGAUGCUUCAUCCUGCACGCGGCAUGGCUGGUUCAGGCUUGCGCCCAUUGACCAAUAUUCCUCACUGCUGCCUCCCGUAGGAGUCUGGUCCGUGUCUCAGUACCAGUGUGGGGGAUCUCCCUCUCAGGACCCCUACCCAUCGUUGCCAUGGUAAGCCGUUACCUUACCAUCUAGCUAAUGGGACGCAUGCCCAUCUUUCACCGUUGGAACUUUAAUAUAUAAACCAUGCGAUUCAUAUAUACUAUAAGGUAUUAAUCCAAAUUUCUCUGGGCUAUCCCUUUGUGAAAGGUAGGUUGCAUACGCGUUACGCACCCGUGCGCCGGUCUCUUGGUAGCAAGCUACCAAUACCCCUCGACUUGCAUGUGUUAAGCCUGCCGCUAGCGUUCAUCCUGAGCCAGGA